AGAUUUGACCUCAUUGUGGCAUCUGAGAAGUGAGGCUGGUGGGAGGCUUUAGGCCCUUGGGCACUUUCCUGGGAAGGUAAUUCUUCUGAGCGGUUGGGUUUUACAAGCAGGUGUGCUUCCUGUGCCUCUUCCUCCUGGCUCCCCUGGUGAUUGUUCCUCCUCACUCCCUCCACCCUGCCAGCCUCCACCAGAUGUCAGACUAAUGGGGCCAUCUGAUCUUCACCUGUGAACCUCCAAACCAUCAGCCAAAACAAGCUUUCUCCUUCCCAAGAUGCUCCUCUCAGCACCUGGCACAGCAUUGAGAACAUCACUGGUGCUCGGGCAAUAAUGCUAGCUGAAGAAUGUGCUCUUCUCUGCCAUCCAGGAGAGCGUGGCCUUGGAUGUUUAUUCCUUGAAACCCCUGCUUAGAAAUAAACACAGAAACAGUCACAUGGACACAGGACAGUGUUUUUACUUUUCAGUUUCUCUGCAGACUGUCUAAGCUGUGGUUCAGAGCUUAACUGUGGUUAAAGAAUGCCUGCUUUUGUGUUAAACAACCCUUAGUGAUAGAUUUCGUUUUUUCAUAGGUGCAGGUUCAAACACUCUGGGGGAAGGUUGCUUGACUUCCACUUGUGUAUGCAUAUCAGUACAGAUUAAUAUUUUUAAUUGGCUUCUAAGUUCUUUUUCUCAGUAUUUUGCAGGAACUUUAUCUUUUUUGUUAGAAGUCAUAUUGAUUUUCCCCAUUCAUCUAAAAGACCACCACUGCACAGGUCAGCAGACCCAAAUAAUAAAUGCAUUUGACACAGAGACUAUAAAAAUUAUUUUGUUUUCUGCCCACACCAAGAAUGUAUUGCCUACGCAUAAUUAAGCAGGAAAAUUAGUGUAUGAGAAUUGUAGGUCUGCCCCGAGUGCAUGGAGAUAAGUUAUAAAAAUAAAAAUCAAGUUGACUAGCUAACUUCUACUCUUUCUUUUCUCCCCCCACCCCCCAGGGGCAAAUGCUGAGCCUAAUUCUUCCAAUGACUUGAGAAAGAAAUGCAGCAUCAGUCACGAUUCUCGGUCUCACACUGCCACCUGUUGGUUCACUGUUCUUUUUCCCUAAAGCAACUUCAGGCAGUGUGAAUUCAACCCGGUGACGAGUGCGUCUUUCCCUUCGAAAGCAUCAUCUGUACCAAAUUGUACAAUCUGGCAUCUGCUUUGACAACUUUAGCAAGCAAUCAUUUUGACAGGAGACCAUCUGUGUUAAACAAUACACACAAUGUCUGCGUGAAACAGAAAGGAAAAGAACAGUGUCUAACAACAGUGAUGGUCUGAAAUGACCCAGC
Long non-coding RNA from Lepus europaeus (European hare), 1301 nucleotides. RefSeq lists it as uncharacterized. The record is from RefSeq and is a predicted model, not a curated record. The transcript has 3 exons. Lineage: Eukaryota; Metazoa; Chordata; Mammalia; Lagomorpha; Leporidae.